This 2902-nucleotide ribosomal RNA is filed under the name Escherichia coli HVH 200 (4-4449924). Its description in RNAcentral is "bacterial LSU rRNA". It matches the Rfam family "Bacterial large subunit ribosomal RNA". Lineage: Bacteria; Pseudomonadati; Pseudomonadota; Gammaproteobacteria; Enterobacterales; Enterobacteriaceae. The record is from RNAcentral.
UUAAGCGACUAAGCGUACACGGUGGAUGCCCUGGCAGUCAGAGGCGAUGAAGGACGUGCUAAUCUGCGAUAAGCGUCGGUAAGGUGAUAUGAACCGUUAUAACCGGCGAUUUCCGAAUGGGGAAACCCAGUGUGUUUCGACACACUAUCAUUAACUGAAUCCAUAGGUUAAUGAGGCGAACCGGGGGAACUGAAACAUCUAAGUACCCCGAGGAAAAGAAAUCAACCGAGAUUCCCCCAGUAGCGGCGAGCGAACGGGGAGGAGCCCAGAGCCUGAAUCAGUGUGUGUGUUAGUGGAAGCGUCUGGAAAGGCGCGCGAUACAGGGUGACAGCCCCGUACACAAAAAUGCACAUGCUGUGAGCUCGAUGAGUAGGGCGGGACACGUGGUAUCCUGUCUGAAUAUGGGGGGACCAUCCUCCAAGGCUAAAUACUCCUGACUGACCGAUAGUGAACCAGUACCGUGAGGGAAAGGCGAAAAGAACCCCGGCGAGGGGAGUGAAAAAGAACCUGAAACCGUGUACGUACAAGCAGUGGGAGCACGCUUAGGCGUGUGACUGCGUACCUUUUGUAUAAUGGGUCAGCGACUUAUAUUCUGUAGCAAGGUUAACCGAAUAGGGGAGCCGAAGGGAAACCGAGUCUUAACUGGGCGUUAAGUUGCAGGGUAUAGACCCGAAACCCGGUGAUCUAGCCAUGGGCAGGUUGAAGGUUGGGUAACACUAACUGGAGGACCGAACCGACUAAUGUUGAAAAAUUAGCGGAUGACUUGUGGCUGGGGGGGAAAGGCCAAUCAAACCGGGAGAUAGCUGGUUCUCCCCGAAAGCUAUUUAGGUAGCGCCUCGUGAAUUCAUCUCCGGGGGUAGAGCACUGUUUCGGCAAGGGGGUCAUCCCGACUUACCAACCCGAUGCAAACUGCGAAUACCGGAGAAUGUUAUCACGGGAGACACACGGCGGGUGCUAACGUCCGUCGUGAAGAGGGAAACAACCCAGACCGCCAGCUAAGGUCCCAAAGUCAUGGUUAAGUGGGAAACGAUGUGGGAAGGCCCAGACAGCCAGGAUGUUGGCUUAGAAGCAGCCAUCAUUUAAAGAAAGCGUAAUAGCUCACUGGUCGAGUCGGCCUGCGCGGAAGAUGUAACGGGGCUAAACCAUGCACCGAAGCUGCGGCAGCGACGCUUAUGCGUUGUUGGGUAGGGGAGCGUUCUGUAAGCCUGUGAAGGUGUGCUGUGAGGCAUGCUGGAGGUAUCAGAAGUGCGAAUGCUGACAUAAGUAACGAUAAAGCGGGUGAAAAGCCCGCUCGCCGGAAGACCAAGGGUUCCUGUCCAACGUUAAUCGGGGCAGGGUGAGUCGACCCCUAAGGCGAGGCCGAAAGGCGUAGUCGAUGGGAAACAGGUUAAUAUUCCUGUACUUGGUGUUACUGCGAAGGGGGGACGGAGAAGGCUAUGUUGGCCGGGCGACGGUUGUCCCGGUUUAAGCGUGUAGGCUGGUUUUCCAGGCAAAUCCGGAAAAUCAAGGCUGAGGCGUGAUGACGAGGCACUACGGUGCUGAAGCAACAAAUGCCCUGCUUCCAGGAAAAGCCUCUAAGCAUCAGGUAACAUCAAAUCGUACCCCAAACCGACACAGGUGGUCAGGUAGAGAAUACCAAGGCGCUUGAGAGAACUCGGGUGAAGGAACUAGGCAAAAUGGUGCCGUAACUUCGGGAGAAGGCACGCUGAUAUGUAGGUGAAGCGACUUGCUCGUGGAGCUGAAAUCAGUCGAAGAUACCAGCUGGCUGCAACUGUUUAUUAAAAACACAGCACUGUGCAAACACGAAAGUGGACGUAUACGGUGUGACGCCUGCCCGGUGCCGGAAGGUUAAUUGAUGGGGUCAGCGCAAGCGAAGCUCUUGAUCGAAGCCCCGGUAAACGGCGGCCGUAACUAUAACGGUCCUAAGGUAGCGAAAUUCCUUGUCGGGUAAGUUCCGACCUGCACGAAUGGCGUAAUGAUGGCCAGGCUGUCUCCACCCGAGACUCAGUGAAAUUGAACUCGCUGUGAAGAUGCAGUGUACCCGCGGCAAGACGGAAAGACCCCGUGAACCUUUACUAUAGCUUGACACUGAACAUUGAGCCUUGAUGUGUAGGAUAGGUGGGAGGCUUUGAAGUGUGGACGCCAGUCUGCAUGGAGCCGACCUUGAAAUACCACCCUUUAAUGUUUGAUGUUCUAACGUUGACCCGUAAUCCGGGUUGCGGACAGUGUCUGGUGGGUAGUUUGACUGGGGCGGUCUCCUCCUAAAGAGUAACGGAGGAGCACGAAGGUUGGCUAAUCCUGGUCGGACAUCAGGAGGUUAGUGCAAUGGCAUAAGCCAGCUUGACUGCGAGCGUGACGGCGCGAGCAGGUGCGAAAGCAGGUCAUAGUGAUCCGGUGGUUCUGAAUGGAAGGGCCAUCGCUCAACGGAUAAAAGGUACUCCGGGGAUAACAGGCUGAUACCGCCCAAGAGUUCAUAUCGACGGCGGUGUUUGGCACCUCGAUGUCGGCUCAUCACAUCCUGGGGCUGAAGUAGGUCCCAAGGGUAUGGCUGUUCGCCAUUUAAAGUGGUACGCGAGCUGGGUUUAGAACGUCGUGAGACAGUUCGGUCCCUAUCUGCCGUGGGCGCUGGAGAACUGAGGGGGGCUGCUCCUAGUACGAGAGGACCGGAGUGGACGCAUCACUGGUGUUCGGGUUGUCAUGCCAAUGGCACUGCCCGGUAGCUAAAUGCGGAAGAGAUAAGUGCUGAAAGCAUCUAAGCACGAAACUUGCCCCGAGAUGAGUUCUCCCUGACUCCUUGAGAGUCCUGAAGGAACGUUGAAGACGACGACGUUGAUAGGCCGGGUGUGUAAGCGCAGCGAUGCGUUGAGCUAACCGGUACUAAUGAACCGUGAGGCUUAACCUU